Molecule: ribosomal RNA, 305 nt
Filed under: uncultured bacterium
Lineage: Bacteria
Description: bacterial SSU rRNA
Rfam family: Bacterial small subunit ribosomal RNA
Source: RNAcentral
UAAGCCUACGGGGCGCAGCAGUGGGGGAUAUUGCACAAUGGGCGCAAGCCUGAUGCAGCGACGCCGCGUGAGCGAAGAAGUAUUUCGGUAUGUAAAGCUCUAUCAGCAGGGAAGAAAAUGACGGUACCUGACUAAGAAGCUCAGGCUAACUACGUGCCAGCAGCCGCGGUAAUACGUAGGGGGCAAGCGUUAUCCGGAAUUACUGGGUGUAAAGGGAGCGUAGACGGUAAUGCAAGUCUGGAGUGAAAGGCGGGGGCCCAACCCCCGGACUGCUCUGGAAACUGUGCAACUGGAGUGCAGGAGAG